This 450-nucleotide ribosomal RNA is filed under the name uncultured bacterium. Its description in RNAcentral is "bacterial SSU rRNA". It matches the Rfam family "Bacterial small subunit ribosomal RNA", at positions 29 to 526 of the family's 1533-position model. The record is from RNAcentral.
AACGAACGCUGGCGGCAGGCCUAACACAUGCAAGUCGAGCGCGCCUUCGGGUGAGCGGCGGACGGGUUAGUAACGCGUGGGAACGUGCCCUUCUCUAAGGAAUAGCCACUGGAAACGGUGAGUAAUACAUUAUACGCCCUUAGGGGGAAAGAUUUAUCGGAGAAGGAUCGGCCCGCGUUAGAUUAGAUAGUUGGUGGGGUAACGGCCUACCAAGUCUACGAUCUAUAGCUGGUUUUAGAGGAUGAUCAGCAACACUGGGACUGAGACACGGCCCAGACUCCUACGGGAGGCAGCAGUGGGGAAUCUUAGACAAUGGGCGCAAGCCUGAUCUAGCCAUGCCGCGUGAGUGAAGAAGGUCCUAGGAUCGUAAAGCUCUUUCGCCAGGGAUGAUAAUGACAGUACCUGGUAAAGAAACCCCGGCUAACUCCGUGCCAGCAGCCGCAGUAAGAC